This 253-nucleotide ribosomal RNA is filed under the name uncultured bacterium. RNAcentral's name for it is "partial 16S ribosomal RNA". It matches the Rfam family "Bacterial small subunit ribosomal RNA", at positions 524 to 776 of the family's 1533-position model. The record is from RNAcentral.
UACGAGGGGUGCAAGCGUUGCUCGGAAUUAUUGGGCGUAAAGGGUAGGUAGGUGGUCUCAUUUGUCUGGGGUGAAGGCCUUGAGCUUAACUCAAGAAGUGCCCUAGAAACGGUGAGACUGGAGUCCUGGAGAGGGUCGUGGAAUUCCCGGUGUAGCGGUGAAAUGCGUAGAGAUCGGGAGGAACACCAGCGGCGAAGGCGGCGACCUGGACAGGUACUGACACUCAACUACGAAAGCGUGGGGAGCAAACAGG